Molecule: long non-coding RNA, 972 nt
Filed under: Homo sapiens (human)
Lineage: Eukaryota; Metazoa; Chordata; Mammalia; Primates; Hominidae
Description: HSALNT0397775
Source: RNAcentral
CCCGGUUGGAUCCAUCAUCGGACCCCAAGAGGAGUCCGCGCAGCCCAGCCGGCAUCCCGAAGCUCCUCCUUUCGCGGGAACCGAAGCAGAAGAGCGAUCAAGGAGGUCCUCACCACAGGACUCCUAUGGGUCCGACCCUGGGUCUCCCGCAGGCCCCUCUGGCAGUCCUCUUCCCACCCGCCGCCUCGGGCUGCGCCGCCACCGCCGCCGCCGCAACCUCCAGCACCGCCGCCCCAGGCCCCGCAGCCGCCGCGUCGCCGCCAUUUUUUAAAGGGUCCGCAGCCUGACUCUGCGGAGUAAGGGGGGCUGGAGCGGGGGGAGUCGGCCUCGCCAGUGCGCAUGCGCGAGGCCCAAGCCGCCGCUUGGGUCAAAGUGAAAGCCACCGUUGCCCGGGGAUGGGUCCCUGACACUUGGCGAAGUAGGAGCCCUGUGUGAUCGUGCGUCUGAGUCUGGGCUGAGACCAGUCCUGGCCAGGGCAGUUACCAGGACGGUCUCCGGAGGCCGGGAUUCGCGGAGGGUCCACCAGCAGGAAGAAACCCCAAGAGGAAGAAACCUCAGACAGAUCGCCGGCGAGGCAGCGCGGGAUCCCAGCCUCAGGCGUGCGCGGACGGUGUGCGGCGCACACAACCAAGCUUAGGAGCCGACUGUUAAGAUGCCCCAGUGACACGGACAAGUUUCUCCUCUGCAACCCAAUGAGAGCUGCUGACCACGAGAGCAUCGCGGGACCGCCAAAGGAUUCUGGAAAAUGUGGUCCCGGGUGGCCAGUGUGCGCUGACCUUCACCUGAAGGUACGGCUUGAAGGAAACUUCUGGAGGGUGGGGUGGUGUUGAAGAGAAGGCACAAUUGUCACCAUUUUGUUCAACAUGGGCGUUUUCUUUGUGCAUUGAUUUGCAUUUUUAAAGAUCCUAUGUGUCAGAGGUCGGGAAACUACAUCAGCCCCAGUCCGGGCGCCCAUGAGACCUGUGGACGGAC